RNAcentral lists this ribosomal RNA (196 nucleotides) under Telatrygon zugei (pale-edged stingray). RNAcentral describes it as "partial 16S ribosomal RNA". Lineage: Eukaryota; Metazoa; Chordata; Chondrichthyes; Myliobatiformes; Dasyatidae. The record is from RNAcentral.
ACCCUAAAGCUAGCCAAAACAAAUCUUAUUCACCCUCCAUUAUUAAUUUGAUAUUUCAUAUUACAUUAAUUAAUUUAAAACAUUUUAUCCUUCUCAGUAUAGGCGAUAGAACAGAACCUUUGAGCUAUACAAAUAGUACCGCAAGGGAAAGCUGAAAAAGAAAUGAAAUAAAUCAUUAAAGUACAAAAAAGCAGAG